RNAcentral lists this transfer RNA (72 nucleotides) under Ictidomys tridecemlineatus (thirteen-lined ground squirrel). RNAcentral describes it as "Spermophilus tridecemlineatus (thirteen-lined ground squirrel) tRNA". It matches the Rfam family "tRNA". Rfam says of the family: Transfer RNA (tRNA) molecules are approximately 80 nucleotides in length. Their secondary structure includes four short double-helical elements and three loops (D, anti-codon, and T loops). Further hydrogen bonds mediate the characteristic L-shaped molecular structure. tRNAs have two regions of fundamental functional importance: the anti-codon, which is responsible for specific mRNA codon recognition, and the 3' end, to which the tRNAs corresponding amino acid is attached (by aminoacyl-tRNA synthetases). tRNAs cope with the degeneracy of the genetic code in two manners: having more than one tRNA (with a specific anti-codon) for a particular amino acid; and 'wobble' base-pairing, i.e. permitting non-standard base-pairing at the 3rd anti-codon position. The record is from Rfam by way of RNAcentral. Lineage: Eukaryota; Metazoa; Chordata; Mammalia; Rodentia; Sciuridae.
AGGGAUGUAGCUCAGUGGUAGAGCACUUGCAUAGCACACAUGAAGCCCUGGAUUCAAUCCCCAGCACUGCAA